Molecule: ribosomal RNA, 460 nt
Filed under: uncultured bacterium
Lineage: Bacteria
Description: partial 16S ribosomal RNA
Rfam family: Bacterial small subunit ribosomal RNA
Source: RNAcentral
CCUACGGGAGGCAGCAGUGAGGAAUAUUGGUCAAUGGGCGCGAGCCUGAACCAGCCAAGUAGCGUGAAGGAUGACUGCCCUACGGGUUGUAAACUUCUUUUAUGAAGGAAUAAAGUGAGGCACGUGUGCCUUUUUGUAUGUACUUUAUGAAUAAGGAUCGGCUAACUCCGUGCCAGCAGCCGCGGUAAUACGGAGGAUCCGAGCGUUAGCCGGAUUUAUUGGGUUUAAAGGGAGCGUAGAUGGGUUGUUAAGUCAGUUGUGAAAGUUUGCGGCUCAACCGUAAAAUUGCAAUUGAUACUGGCAGGCUUGAGUACAGUAGAGGUAGGCAGAAUUCGUGGUGUAGCGGUGAAAUGCGUAGAUAUCACGAAGAAUUCCGAUGGCGAAGGCAGCUUACUAAACGGCCACUGACAUUGAUGCGCGAAAGUGUGGGUAGCAAACAGGAUUAGAUACCCCGGUAGUC